Molecule: ribosomal RNA, 495 nt
Filed under: uncultured bacterium
Lineage: Bacteria
Description: partial 16S ribosomal RNA
Rfam family: Bacterial small subunit ribosomal RNA
Source: RNAcentral
GACGAACGCUGGCGGCGUGCCUAAUACAUGCAAGUAGAACGCUGAAGGAGGAGCUUGCUUCUCUGGAUGAGUUGCGAACGGGUGAGUAACGCGUAGGUAACCUGCCUGGUAGCGGGGGAUAACUAUUGGAAACGAUAGCUAAUACCGCAUAAGAGUAGAUGUUGCAUGACAUUUGCUUAAAAGGUGCAAUUGCAUCACUACCAGAUGGACCUGCGUUGUAUUAGCUAGUUGGUGGUGUAACGGCUCACCAAGGCGACGAUACAUAGCCGACCUGAGAGGGUGAUCGGCCACACUGGGACUGGGACACGGCCCAGACUCCUACGGGAGGCAGCAGUAGGGAAUCUUCGGCAAUGGACGGAAGUCUGACCGAGCAACGCCGCGUGAGUGAAGAAGGUUUUCGGAUCGUAAAGCUCUGUUGUAAGGGAAGAACGAGUGUGAGAGUGGAAAGUUCACACUGUGACGGUAUCUUACCAGAAAGGGACGGCUAACUACGUG